Molecule: unclassified non-coding RNA, 222 nt
Filed under: uncultured Corticiales
Lineage: Eukaryota; Fungi; Basidiomycota; Agaricomycetes
Description: sequence contains ITS1
Source: RNAcentral
UCGAGUUUUGAAGUGGGCUUGAUGCUGGCUUCCUCACCGAAGCAUGUGCUCAGCUCCGCGCUCAAAUCCACUCUACACCUGUGCACUUUCAAAGUCGUAGUCCUCCGUCAUGGGAGCCACAGAUUGUUAACUCAGUCUGUCGGGACUGCACUUUGCCCUUUAUCACAAACUAUUUCUAAUGUUUGUAGAAUGUGUUAGCCUUUAAAUGGGCGAAACUUAAUA